Molecule: ribosomal RNA, 449 nt
Filed under: uncultured bacterium
Lineage: Bacteria
Description: bacterial SSU rRNA
Rfam family: Bacterial small subunit ribosomal RNA
Source: RNAcentral
UGGGGAAUAUUGGACAAUGGGCGCAAGCCUGAUCCAGCAAUGCCGCGUGUGUGAAGAAGGCCUUAGGGUUGUAAAGCACUUUCAGUGGGGAGGAAGGAGUGUGUGCUAAUACCACAUGCUAUUGACGUUACCCACAGAAGAAGCACCGGCUAACUCUGUGCCAGCAGCCGCGGUAAUACAGAGGGUGCGAGCGUUAAUCGGAAUUACUGGGCGUAAAGGGUGUGUAGGUGGUUAUAUAAGUUAGAUGUGAAAUCCCCGGGCUCAACCUGGGAACUGCGUUUAAGACUGUAUAACUAGAGUACUGUAGAGGAUAGUGGAAUUUCCAGUGUAGCGGUGAAAUGCGUAGAUAUUGGAAGGAACACCAGUGGCGAAGGCGACUAUCUGGACAGAUACUGACACUGAGACACGAAAGCGUGGGGAGCAAACAGGAUUAGAUACCCCCGUAGUCC